GGGGGAUUAGCUCAGUUGGCUAGAGCAUUAGCUUUGCAAGCUAAGGGUCAUCGGUUCGACUCCGAUAUCCUCCACAA
This 77-nucleotide transfer RNA is filed under the name Chitinophagaceae bacterium. RNAcentral's name for it is "tRNA-Ala". It matches the Rfam family "tRNA". Rfam says of the family: Transfer RNA (tRNA) molecules are approximately 80 nucleotides in length. Their secondary structure includes four short double-helical elements and three loops (D, anti-codon, and T loops). Lineage: Bacteria; Pseudomonadati; Bacteroidota; Chitinophagia; Chitinophagales; Chitinophagaceae. RNAcentral also lists the same sequence under 1 other name. The record is from RNAcentral.